RNAcentral lists this transfer RNA (85 nucleotides) under Mycoplasmopsis mucosicanis. RNAcentral's name for it is "Mycoplasma mucosicanis tRNA-Leu". It matches the Rfam family "tRNA". Rfam says of the family: Transfer RNA (tRNA) molecules are approximately 80 nucleotides in length. Their secondary structure includes four short double-helical elements and three loops (D, anti-codon, and T loops). The record is from RNAcentral. Lineage: Bacteria; Bacillati; Mycoplasmatota; Mycoplasmoidales; Metamycoplasmataceae.
GCGCGAGUGGUGAAAUUGGCAGACACGCUAGAUUUAGGCUCUAGUGCUUCACGGCGUAAGGGUUCAAGUCCCUUCUUGCGCACCA